CAAAUUAAAAUAUAAUGUUGUCAAAAGAGUUCCUCAAAACUUGAAGAACCUUACUUUUAGUAUAAUAAGCUGAAACAUCUCGACAUCGCUCUAGCAAUAUUUCCAAAAUGGCUUGCUUGGUUUGAAGCUGAAUAGAUUUUGAACUCAAUUUACCCUCAAUGAUGAGAAACAAAAACAACAAAGAAAUAAGCUUAAAUGGAAACUAGGAUGGCAUCCCAUUGAUGGAAAACCUUAGGAAGUUAGAAUGACCAAUGAUAGAACCUAGGAUGGCAUCCUAAUUAUGAGAAACCAAAG
RNAcentral lists this long non-coding RNA (294 nucleotides) under Vitis vinifera (wine grape). Its description in RNAcentral is "long non-coding RNA (VVIN_LNC006914)". Lineage: Eukaryota; Viridiplantae; Streptophyta; Magnoliopsida; Vitales; Vitaceae. The record is from RNAcentral.